CGCGAAAAGUUUUGAACGACAUUAACGGGUUGUUUAUUUUCGAUUUUUUUUUUUUUUUUUUUUUUUUUUUGUCAUUCGAUUGAAAAUAAUUGAUCUUUUUUUUUACGAGUGAUGUAAUAUGGAAUUUCGACGGAACUCGCCGUAACGACGGCAAUUCAAAACCCGUUCGACUGAACUCCGUUCGGAAUCGUUUUCCGCCAGCAGUGAUUUAUCGCCCCUAGGUAUAAACGCAACGGGUCCGCGCACCCUACACACUUUUCACACUUCUCGUCUGCGACGGUGGCACAUCCGUCUCAUCAGCAGUCUCGGCUCUUUUCGUUUAUUGUUAAUUUUUUUUUUUUUUUUUUUUUCUGCUGGCUACACGCGUUUUUGGACUUUCCGCGAUCGCUCCGUAUACCACGCGUACACACGUGUACGUAACGACAACGACGGGACGACGCAAUAAACGCGACGGGCGUCGGCAAAGUGACGAGCGGCGGCGGGGAGAAGGGACGAUUCUAGUGAUACCGAAACAACGCGUAGAAAAACAAAAAAAUAUUUGUUCGCGUAUUCCAG
Cinara cedri is the source of this 555-nucleotide non-coding RNA. The record is from the annotation of a GenBank genome assembly. NCBI's taxonomy places the organism in Eukaryota, Metazoa, Arthropoda, Insecta, Hemiptera, Aphididae.